GUAGGGGGCGAGCGUUGUCCGGAUUUAUUGGGCGUAAAGAGCUCGUAGGCGGCUCAACAAGUCGGCCGUGAAAACCUGAGGCUCAACCUCAGGACGCCGGUCGAAACUGUUGUGGCUAGGGUCCGGUAGAGGAGGGUGGAAUUCCCGGUGUAGCGGUGAAAUGCGCAGAUAUCGGGAGGAACACCAGUAGCGAAGGCGGCUCUCUGGGCCGGCACCGACGCUGAGGAGCGAAAGCUAGGGGAGCAAACAGGAUUAGAUACCCUGGUAGUCCUAGCCGUAAACGUUGGGUACUAGGUGUGGCGGAUUCAUUGACAUCUGCCGUGCCGAAGCUAACGCAUUAAGUACCCCGCCUGGGGGAGUACGGUCGCAAGGCUA
RNAcentral lists this ribosomal RNA (375 nucleotides) under uncultured organism. RNAcentral's name for it is "partial 16S ribosomal RNA". It matches the Rfam family "Bacterial small subunit ribosomal RNA", at positions 527 to 896 of the family's 1533-position model. The record is from RNAcentral.